AAGACUAUAGACCUGCGGAGUACCUGCGGAGGGAUCAUUAAUGAAUUUUAGGACGUUCUUUUUAGAAGUCCGACCAUUUCAUUUUCUUACACUGUGCACACACUUCUUUUUACACACACUUUUAACACAUUAGUAUAAGAAUGUAAUAGUCUCUUAAUUGGGCAUAAACAAAAAUAAAACUUUCAACAAUGGAUCUCU
Molecule: unclassified non-coding RNA, 198 nt
Filed under: soil metagenome
Description: partial contains 5.8S ribosomal RNA, internal transcribed spacer 2, and large subunit ribosomal RNA
Source: RNAcentral